RNAcentral lists this ribosomal RNA (110 nucleotides) under Erinaceus europaeus (western European hedgehog). Lineage: Eukaryota; Metazoa; Chordata; Mammalia; Eulipotyphla; Erinaceidae. The record is from RNAcentral.
AGAGAGAGCCAUAUCACCCUGAACACACCGGGUCUCAUCUGAUCUCGGAAGUUAAGCAGGAUCGGGCCUGGUUAGUACUUGGAUGGGAGAGACAUCUGCAGUACUUGCUU